UGAACGCUGGCGGCGUGCCUAAUACAUGCCAGUCGAGCGAACAGACGAGGAGCUUGCUCCUCUGACGUUAGCGGCGGACGGGUGAGUAACACGUGGAUAACCUACCUAUAAGACUGGGAUAACUUCGGGAAACCGGAGCUAAUAACGGAUAAUAUAUUGAACCGCAUGGUUCAAUAGUGAAAGACGGUUUUGCUGUCACUUAUAGAUGGAUCCGCGCCGCAUUAGCUAGUUGGUAAGGUAACGGCUUACCAAGGCAACGAUGCGUAGCCGACCUGAGAGGGUGAUCGGCCACACUGGAACUGAGACACGGUCCAGACUCCUACGGGAGGCAGCAGUAGGGAAUCUUCCGCAAUGGGCGAAAGCCUGACGGAGCAACGCCGCGUGAGUGAUGAAGGUCUUCGGAUCGUAAAACUCUGUUAUUAGGGAAGAACAAAUGUGUAAGUAACUAUGCACGUCUUGACGGUACCUAAUCAGAAAGCCACGGCUAACUACGUG
Molecule: ribosomal RNA, 495 nt
Filed under: uncultured bacterium
Lineage: Bacteria
Description: partial 16S ribosomal RNA
Rfam family: Bacterial small subunit ribosomal RNA
Source: RNAcentral